GGCCGGUAUGAAUGGCGUUACGAAGGCCCCACUGUCUUAAGAGGACUCUCCAUGAAAUUGAAUUCGUAGUGAAGAUGCUACGUCCAUAUUGUAAGACGAAAAGACCCCAUUGAGCUUUACUAAAGACUUGCAUGGCUCAAAAUAAUUUGAUUUAAAUAAAAAGUUUAGAUAAUGUGGGACCCGUUUCCGGUUAAUGAAACACCACUCUUUUAUUUUAAGAGAGCUAACAUUACAGGGAUAGUGUAAGUUGGAUAGUUUGGUUGGGGCGACCACCUUUUAAAAGGUAACGAAGGUGAGCUUAAGGUCCGUAGUUAAUAGCCGGUGGCCUGACUGCAAGGGGGACGUCUCGAGCAGACACGUCCUUAGGGAUGUGGACUAUAGUGACCCGUCAUC
Molecule: ribosomal RNA, 393 nt
Filed under: Anthopleura elegantissima (clonal anemone)
Lineage: Eukaryota; Metazoa; Cnidaria; Anthozoa; Actiniaria; Actiniidae
Also listed under: 1 other name
Description: partial 16S ribosomal RNA
Rfam family: Bacterial large subunit ribosomal RNA
Source: RNAcentral